Molecule: non-coding RNA, 727 nt
Organism: Elaeis guineensis (African oil palm)
Lineage: Eukaryota; Viridiplantae; Streptophyta; Magnoliopsida; Arecales; Arecaceae
Source: RefSeq, a predicted model, not a curated record
ACAGUUUGAUAUCUUGACAUGGUGGAAGAGCAAUGCAGCAAUUUAUCCUAUAUUAUCGGGCAAGAGACAUUCUCGCUAUUCCAGUCUCUACUGUUUCAUCAGAAUCGGUAUUCAGCACUGACGGUAGAGUUGUAGAUCAGUAUCAGAGUUCAUUGAGCCCAUCUACUGUUGAGGCCUUAGUUUGUACUCAAGAUUGGCUUCGUGAAGAAUAUGAUAAAGUUACAAGUAGCUUAAUUGCGGAUGAUGGCACCCCAGAGCAAGCCAAGCAGUAAAGUUGGAACAUGGAUAUUUUGAUGACGAUGAAUGAAUGAAGAUGGAGGUUGCUUCUUGUAUUUUGGAAGACUGUAGUGAGAAAAUUAGGGAAAGAAGACUGUACUAACAAGGAGAUCUACAUGCAGAUUUUGUUCAAACUGCUACUUAUUUGGGAUUCUUUAAAAGUUGCUUCCUUCAGAGAGAGGAGUUUAGGAACCUGUCCUUUUCUUGCCUCUAACUUGUACCACUGCCAGUGCAAGUUUGCAACAGAAUUUUCUUAAGCAAACUGUAAUCAUAGCUUCUAAGGCUAUCUUUAUCGUUCAAAAAUUGUUUGCUUGUUUUUAUUUCCCCAAUAUUUGUAGUAGUAGUUUGGUGGCCAAGUAAUUUCUUACAAUUUAAGUAAUUUCUUACAAUUCAGCAAUUUGAUUUUUUGUGUUUGAGAAUUGAAAUAUUUUGGUAAUGAACAUAAUUUGUA